AUAAAAUAUAUUAGCGGAACUAAGUAAAUUAUUAUUUUGAUUUAAUUUUUUAAAUAAAGAGUUAAGAGUAAAAUCUUUAAAUUUUUAAAUGAAAAAUUAUAAGGAAAUAUGAUAAUCUUUAAAAAUAAGGUCUUAGACUAGGAUUAGAUACCCUAUUAUUCUUUAUUAAAUUAGUUGCUUGGGUAGUAAAGAUUUUUAAACCUAAAGAAUUUGGCGGUACUUCAUUCUUACUAGAGGAACCUGCUCCUGGAUCGAUAAUCCACGCUUUAAAUGUACAUGGAUUUGUUUUCAGUUUGUAUACCGCCGUUGUCUGAUUAUUUUUAAAGAAAUAUAAUCUAAUUAGUUGUUAUACUAGGACUUCAGGUCAAGGUGCAGCUUAUGUUUAUGGGGGUAGUGGGUUACAAUAAAUUAUAUUUACACGGAUCAAAGCGGGUAAGCAAUUUGUGAAGGUGGAUUUAGUAGUAAAUUAAUAAUAGGAUUUUUAAUUGAAAUGGGCUCUGAAGUGUGUACACAUCGCCCGUCGCUCUCUCCUUAAGGAGAGAUAAGUCG
Molecule: ribosomal RNA, 549 nt
Filed under: Triops granarius
Lineage: Eukaryota; Metazoa; Arthropoda; Branchiopoda; Notostraca; Triopsidae
Description: partial 12S ribosomal RNA
Rfam family: Microsporidia small subunit ribosomal RNA (bases 181-549)
Source: RNAcentral